Molecule: ribosomal RNA, 459 nt
Filed under: uncultured bacterium
Lineage: Bacteria
Description: partial 16S ribosomal RNA
Rfam family: Bacterial small subunit ribosomal RNA
Source: RNAcentral
CCUACGUGAGGCAGCAGUGAGGAAUAUUGGUCAUUGGGCGGGAGCCUGAACCAGCCAAGUCGCGUGAGGGACGACGGUCCUAUGGAUUGUAAACCUCUUUUGUCGGGGAACAAAGGCGUCCACGGGUGGGCGGAUGAGUGUACCCGAAGAAAAAGCAUCGUCAAACUCCGUGCCAGCAGCCGCGGUAAUACGGAGGAUGCGAUCGUUCUCCGGAUUUAUUGGGUUUAACGGGUGCGUCGGCGGACAGGCAAGGCAGCGGUAAAAAUGCGGUGCUCAACGCCGUACAGCCGUUGAAACUGGCCGUCUUGAGUGGGCGAGAAGUAUGCGGAAUGCGUGGUGUAGCGGUGAAAUGCAUAGAUAGCACGCAGAACUCCGAUUGCGAAGGCAGCAUACCGGCGCCCUACUGACGCUGAGGCACGAAAGCGUGGGUAUCGAACAGGAUUAGAUACCCUUGUAGUC